AAAUGCACAUCUAGUAAACAAAGUCACACACUCAUCAUGAGGAAGACCCGAUAACUCAUAUGGUGCUGGGAUGUUGCCCAUAAUGGAGGCUACUUCCUUACUACAUGUAGUUACCAAGAUUUUGCUUCCAUUGGCACCCGUAAACAAAAUCUCUUUCAAAUGGUUCCAUUUCAUGGAGUUAUCAUUCCACACAUCAUCUAAGAUG
This 205-nucleotide unclassified non-coding RNA is filed under the name Hevea brasiliensis (rubber tree). The record is from RNAcentral. Lineage: Eukaryota; Viridiplantae; Streptophyta; Magnoliopsida; Malpighiales; Euphorbiaceae.